AAAUAACAGGUAACAACACUAAAGCCAGACUACACCAGCUUUUCACGACCGUAGAGGAAGACAAACAGGGAGUAGUUGGUUGUUGUUAGCUAGCCACUGUUUUGGACAAUUCGGAAUGAAGUCAUCUUCCUUCCUUCGUCGUCCUGUAUUUCAAAGCCCUUCUACUGGCACCAUCUAUUGGAGAUUGGAAUGUGUCUCUAUAGUGCCUGGAUGCAGGUUGGGAGCAUGUCUCCUGUCGGACAGGACCUGGGUCCUGGUUGGGGCACAAAUCAGCCAAUCGUCCAGGCUGGACUAUAGAGGGAGAACACAAGGUCCCUUAUGUGACUCCGUCUGGACCUGAACUCUUGAAGAACAGUAGUUCUGAGAUUCCCAAGUACACCUCUCCAAAUUGG
Molecule: long non-coding RNA, 392 nt
Organism: Oncorhynchus tshawytscha (Chinook salmon)
Lineage: Eukaryota; Metazoa; Chordata; Actinopteri; Salmoniformes; Salmonidae
Source: Ensembl